GGGACCGUGGUGUAGGGGUAAGCGUGGUUGCCUCCCACCCAGUCGGCUUGGGUUCGAUCCCAAACACGGUCCCG
Molecule: transfer RNA, 74 nt
Filed under: Culex quinquefasciatus (southern house mosquito)
Lineage: Eukaryota; Metazoa; Arthropoda; Insecta; Diptera; Culicidae
Description: tRNA-Gly
Source: RNAcentral